GUCUGGCUCAGACGACGCUGCGGCGUGCUUAACACAUGCAAGUCGAACGGUGAAGGGACCGGUUUUUGCUGGUUCUGGAUGAGUGGCGAACGGGUGAGUAACACGUGAGUAACCUGCCCCUUCUUCUGGAUAACCGCAUGAAAGUGUGGCUAAUACGGGAUAUUCUGCGCCUGCUGCAUGGUGGGUGUGGGAAAGAUAUUGCUUCGGUGGGGGAUGGGCUCGCGGCCUAUCAGCUUGUUGGUGGGUGAUGGCCUACCAAGGCGGUGACGGGUAGCCGGCCUGAGAGGGUGGACGGUCACACUGGGACUGAGACACGGCCCAGACUCCUACGGGAGGCAGCAGUGGGGAAUAUUGCACAAUGGGCGCAAGCCUGAUGCAGCGACGCCGCGUGAGGGAUGGAGGCCUUCGGGUUGUAAACCUCUUUCGCCAGUGAAGCAGGCCCGCCUCUUUUGUGGGUGGGUUGACGGUAGCUGGAUAAGAAGCGCCGGCUAACUACGUG
Molecule: ribosomal RNA, 499 nt
Filed under: uncultured Actinomyces sp.
Lineage: Bacteria; Bacillati; Actinomycetota; Actinomycetes; Actinomycetales; Actinomycetaceae
Description: bacterial SSU rRNA
Rfam family: Bacterial small subunit ribosomal RNA
Source: RNAcentral